GCCCGGGUGGCGGAAUAGGUAGACGCAAGGGACUUAAAAUCCCUCGGGAAAAACAAACCCAUGCCGGUUCGAAUCCGGCCCAGGGCA
RNAcentral lists this transfer RNA (87 nucleotides) under Coxiella endosymbiont of Amblyomma sculptum. Its description in RNAcentral is "tRNA-Leu". It matches the Rfam family "tRNA". Rfam says of the family: Transfer RNA (tRNA) molecules are approximately 80 nucleotides in length. Their secondary structure includes four short double-helical elements and three loops (D, anti-codon, and T loops). The record is from RNAcentral. Lineage: Bacteria; Pseudomonadati; Pseudomonadota; Gammaproteobacteria; Legionellales; Coxiellaceae.